UACGAAGGGUGCAAGCGUUACUCGGAAUUACUGGGCGUAAAGCGUGCGUAGGUGGUCGUUUAAGUCCGUUGUGAAAGCCCUGGGCUCAACCUGGGAACUGCAGUGGAUACUGGGCGACUAGAAUGUGGUAGAGGGUAGCGGAAUUCCUGGUGUAACAGUGAAAUGCGUAGAGAUCAGGAGGAACAUCCAUGGCGAAGGCAGCUACCUGGACCAACAUUGACACUGAGGCACGAAAGCGUGGGGGGAGCAAACAGGAUUAGAUACCCUGGUAGUCCACGCCCUAAAUGAUGCGAACUGGAUGUUGGGUGCAAUUUGGCACGCAGUAUCGAAGCUAACGCGUUAAGUUCGCCGCCUGGGGAGUACGGUCGCAAGACUGAAACU
RNAcentral lists this ribosomal RNA (381 nucleotides) under uncultured bacterium. RNAcentral's name for it is "bacterial SSU rRNA". It matches the Rfam family "Bacterial small subunit ribosomal RNA", at positions 524 to 901 of the family's 1533-position model. The record is from RNAcentral.